RNAcentral lists this ribosomal RNA (751 nucleotides) under uncultured Eubacteriales bacterium. RNAcentral describes it as "bacterial SSU rRNA". It matches the Rfam family "Bacterial small subunit ribosomal RNA", at positions 28 to 776 of the family's 1533-position model. The record is from RNAcentral. Lineage: Bacteria; Bacillati; Bacillota; Clostridia; Eubacteriales.
GAUGAACGCUGGCGGCGUGCCUAACACAUGCAAGUCGAACGGAGAUUAUUCGCUGCGGAGCCUUCGGGCGAAGCUUGAAUGAUCUUAGUGGCGGACGGGUGAGUAACGCGUGGGCAACCUGCCUUGCACAGGGGGAUAGCAGUUGGAAACGACUGGUAAUACCGCAUAUCUUAGAGAGACCGCAUGAUCUUUUUAAGAAAACGUUAGUGGUGCAAGAUGGGCCCGCGUCCGAUUAGAUAGUUGGUGGGGUAACGGCCUACCAAGUCGACGAUCGGUAGCCGACCUAAGAGGGCGGACGGCCACAUUGGGACUGAGACACGGCCCAGACUCCUACGGGAGGCAGCAGUGGGGAAUAUUGCACAAUGGAGGGAACUCUGAUGCAGCGACGCCGCGUGAGUGAAGAAGUAUUUCGGUAUGUAAAGCUCUAUCAGUAGGGAAGAUAAUGACGGUACCUACAUAAGAAGCCCCGGCUAAAUACGUGCCAGCAGCCGCGGUAAUACGUAUGGGGCAAGCGUUAUCCGGAUUUACUGGGUGUAAAGGGAGCGUAGGCGGCAGUACAAGUCGGGAGUGAAAACUCGGGGCUCAACCCCGAGACUGCUCUCGAAACUGUACAGCUAGAGUGCAGGAAGGGCAGGCGGAAUUCCUGGUGUAGCGGUGAAAUGCGUAGAUAUCAGGAGGAACACCGGUGGCGAAGGCGGCCUGCUGGACUGUAACUGACGCUGAGGCUCGAAAGCGUGGGGGAGCGAACAGG